GGAACGAUGGCUGAGUGGUCUAAAGCAGAAGUUUACUAAACUUCCGAUGGUUUAAUAUCAUCCGUAGGUUCGAAUCCUACUCGUUCCA
RNAcentral lists this transfer RNA (88 nucleotides) under Caulobacteraceae bacterium. RNAcentral describes it as "tRNA-Ser". It matches the Rfam family "tRNA". From Rfam's summary of the family: Transfer RNA (tRNA) molecules are approximately 80 nucleotides in length. Their secondary structure includes four short double-helical elements and three loops (D, anti-codon, and T loops). The record is from RNAcentral. Lineage: Bacteria; Pseudomonadati; Pseudomonadota; Alphaproteobacteria; Caulobacterales; Caulobacteraceae.